This 433-nucleotide ribosomal RNA is filed under the name uncultured bacterium. Its description in RNAcentral is "partial 16S ribosomal RNA". It matches the Rfam family "Bacterial small subunit ribosomal RNA", at positions 29 to 507 of the family's 1533-position model. The record is from RNAcentral.
AACGGACGCUGGCGGCAGGCUUAACACAUGCAAGUCGAGCGAGACCUUCGGGUCUAGCGGCGGACGGGUGAGUAACGCGUGGGAACGUGCCCUUCUCUACGGAAUAGCCCCGGGAAACUGGGAGUAAUACCGUAUACGCCCUUUGGGGGAAAGAUUUAUCGGAGAAGGAUCGGCCCGCGUUGGAUUAGGUAGUUGGUGGGGUAAUGGCCCACCAAGCCGACGAUCCAUAGCUGGUUUGAGAGGAUGAUCAGCCACACUGGGACUGAGACACGGCCCAGACUCCUACGGGAGGCAGCAGUGGGGAAUCUUAGACAAUGGGGGCAACCCUGAUCUAGCCAUGCCGCGUGAGUGAUGAAGGCCUUAGGGUUGUAAAGCUCUUUCAGCUGGGAAGAUAAUGACGGUACCAGCAGAAGAAGCCCCGGCUAACUCCGUG